GAUGAACGCUGGCGGCGUGCCUAAUACAUGCAAGUCGAGCGAACAGAUGAGGAGCUUGCUCCUCUGACGUUAGCGGCGGACGGGUGAGUAACACGUGGAUAACCUACCUAUAAGACUGGGAUAACUUCGGGAAACCGGAGCUAAUACCGGAUAAUAUAUUGAACCGCAUGGUUCAAUAGUGAAAGACGGUUUUGCUGUCACUUAUAGAUGGAUCCGCGCCGCAUUAGCUAGUUGGUAAGGUAACGGCUUACCAAGGCAACGAUGCGUAGCCGACCUGAGAGGGUGAUCGGCCACACUGGAACUGAGACACGGUCCAGACUCCUACGGGAGGCAGCAGUAGGGAAUCUUCCGCAAUGGGCGAAAGCCUGACGGAGCAACGCCGCGUGAGUGAUGAAGGUCUUCGGAUCGUAAAACUCUGUUAUUGGGAAGAACAAAUGUGUAAGUAACUAUGCACGUCUUGACGGUACCUAAUCAGAAAGCCACGGCUAACUACGUG
This 496-nucleotide ribosomal RNA is filed under the name uncultured bacterium. RNAcentral's name for it is "partial 16S ribosomal RNA". It matches the Rfam family "Bacterial small subunit ribosomal RNA", at positions 28 to 507 of the family's 1533-position model. The record is from RNAcentral.